Molecule: RNA transcript, 1932 nt
Organism: Dipodomys ordii (Ord's kangaroo rat)
Lineage: Eukaryota; Metazoa; Chordata; Mammalia; Rodentia; Heteromyidae
Gene name: stress-70 protein, mitochondrial pseudogene
Exons: 1
Source: RefSeq, a predicted model, not a curated record
AUGAUAAGUGCCAGCAGAACCGCAGCAGCCCAUCUCAUGGGUGCUGCAGCCUCCCGGGGCCCCACAGCUGCCUGCCACCAGAAUGGCUGGAAUGGCUUUAGUCAUGAGGCUUUUAGAUUUGUUUCUAGGAGGGAUUAUGCAUCAGAAACAAUCAAGGGUGCAGUGGUUGGGCAGUACUAACUCCUGUGUGGCAGUCAUGGAGGGCAAACUAGCAAAGGUGCUGGAGAAUGCUGAAGGGGCCAGAACCACCCCUUCCGUUGUUGGCUUUACCGCAGAUGGUGAACGUCUUGUUGGCAUGCCAGCAAAGCGACAAGCUGUCAUCAACCCAAACAAUACUAUCUAUGCCACCAAACCUCUCAUUGGCUGAAGAUAUGAUGACCUUGAAGUACAGAAAGACCUGAAGAAUGUUCCUUUUAAAAUUGUCUGGGCCUCUAAUGGUGAUGCCUGGGUUGAGGCUCAUGGAAAAUUCUAUUCUCCGAGCCAAAUUGGAGCAUUUGUGUUAUGAAGAUGAAAGAAACUGCAGAAAAUUAUUUGGGACAUGCAGCAAAAAAUGCUAUGAUUACCGUCCCUGCUUAUUUCAAUGAUUCACAGAGACAGGCCACUAAGGAUGCUGGCCAGAUAUCAGGACUAAAUGUGCUUUGGGUGAUUAAUGAAGCCACAGCUGCUGCUCUGGCCUGUGGUCUAGACAAAUCUGAAGACAAAGCCAUUGCUGUGUAUGAUUUAGGUGGUGGAAUUUUUGAUAUUUCUGUCCUGGAAAUUCAGAAAGGCGUAUCUAAGGUGAAAUCCACCAAUGGGAAUACUUUCUUAGGUGGUGAAGACUUUGAUCACAUUGUAAAGGAAUUCAAGAAAGAGACAGUGGUUGAUUUUACCAAAGACAACACAGCACUUCAGAGGGUACAGAAAGCCACUGAGGAGCUAAGCGUGAACUCUCUUCAUCUAUGCAGACUGACAUUAACUUGCCCUAUCUGACUAUGGAUGCUUCUGGACCUAAGCAUUUGAAUAUGAAGCUGACAUGGGCUCAAUUUGAGGGAAUCGUCACUGAUCUUAUCAAGAGGACUAUUGCUCCUUGCCAGAAAGCUAUAAAGGGUGCAGAAGUCACCAAGAGUGAUAUAGGAGAAGUGAUCCUUAUUGGUGACAUGACUAGGAUGCCUAAGGUUCAGCAGACUGCAAGAUCUUUUUGGCUGAGCCCCAAGUAAAGCUGUUAAUCCUGAUGAGGCUGUGGCCAUUGGAGGUGCCAUUCAGGGAGGUUUGUUAGCUGGUGAAGUCACAGAUGUGCUACUCCCCUGUCUCUGGGUAUUGCGACUCUAGGAGGUGUGUUUAUCAAAGUGAUUAACAGGAAUACCACACCAGGUAUUUUCAACUGCUGCUGAUGGACAGACUCAAGUAAAGAUUAAAGUAUGUCAGGGUAAGAGAGAGAUGGCUGGAGAUAACAAGCUUCUUGGUCAGUUUACUUUGAUUGGAAUUCCUCCAGCCCCUCCUGGAGUCCCUCAGAUUGAAGUUACAUUUGACAUUGAUGGCAACGGAAUUGUACGGGAGCAGCAGGUUGUAAUCCAGUCUUCUGGUGGGUUAAGAAAAUAUGAUACUGAAAAUAUGUUUAAAAAUUCAGAGAAGUAUGCGGAGGAAGACUGUCAAAAGAAGGAACGAGUUGAAGCAGUUAACAUGGUUGAAGGAAUUAUUCAUGACACAGAAACUAAGAUGGAAGAAUUCAAAGACCAACUGCCUGCUGAUGAGUGCAACUAGCUAAAAGAAAUAUCCAAAAUGAGGGAGCUCUUGGCUCGAAAAGGAAACCGGAGAAAACAUUAGGCAGGUAGGAUCUUCCCUUCACUGAAGCUCUUUGAAAUGGCAUACAAAAAGAUGGUAUCUGAACAAGACAGCUCUGGAAGUUCUGGCACUGGGGAACAAAAAGAAGAUCAAAAGGAGGAGAAACAGUAA